This 557-nucleotide ribosomal RNA is filed under the name Trigonopterus scissops. RNAcentral's name for it is "partial 16S ribosomal RNA". Lineage: Eukaryota; Metazoa; Arthropoda; Insecta; Coleoptera; Curculionidae. The record is from RNAcentral.
AGAUAGAAACCGACCUGGCUCACGCCGGUUUAAACUCAGAUCAUGUAAAAUUUUAAGGGUCGAACAGACCCAAUUUAUUAGCUGCUACACCAAUAAUUUUCUUUAAUCCAACAUCGAGGUCGCAAUCUUUUUUUUCGAUAAGAACUCUAAAAAAAAUUACGCUGUUAUCCCUGAGGUAAUUCUCUCUUGUAAUCUUAACCUAAGGAUCACAUAUUCACAAAUAAAUGUUUAAAUAAAAAAAAAGUUUGCCUAAUUUUUUGAUCGCCCCAACCAAAUACUACCUAUAACAAACAAGAACAAAUACCAAAUACUCACUUAUUAUAGCAAAUAUAAAACUCUACAGGGUCUUCUCGUCUUCUAUACACAUUUGAGCCUUUUUACUCAAAAAUAAAUUUCUAACAAAUUCAGACAGAGACAGUAAUUUUUUCAUCAAACCUUUCAUUCAAGCUUCCAAUUAAAAAACUAGUGAUUAUGCUACCUUUGCACGGUCAAGCUACCGCGGCCAUUUAACUCUACAUCAUUGGGCAGGCCCGACCUAAAAUUAUUAUCAAUAGGCC